Molecule: small nuclear RNA, 146 nt
Organism: Ailuropoda melanoleuca (giant panda)
Lineage: Eukaryota; Metazoa; Chordata; Mammalia; Carnivora; Ursidae
Gene: U4
Rfam family: U4 spliceosomal RNA
About the family: U4 small nuclear RNA (U4 snRNA) is a component of the major U2-dependent spliceosome. The structure of U4 snRNA from yeast and human has been reported. U4 snRNA presents a k-turn RNA motif in the 5p-SL related to recognition of Snu13 protein.
Source: Ensembl
AGCUUUGCACAGUGGCAGUAUCAUAGCCAAUGAGGUUUAUCCAAGGUCUGAUUAGUGCUAAUUGAAAACUCAUUUACAGGGGCACCUGAGUGGCUCAGUGGGUUAAGCAUCUGCCUUUGGCUCAGGUCAUGAUCCCAGGGUGCUGG